This 1330-nucleotide ribosomal RNA is filed under the name Arthrobacter pascens. RNAcentral describes it as "bacterial SSU rRNA". It matches the Rfam family "Bacterial small subunit ribosomal RNA", at positions 32 to 1362 of the family's 1533-position model. The record is from RNAcentral. Lineage: Bacteria; Bacillati; Actinomycetota; Actinomycetes; Micrococcales; Micrococcaceae.
GCCGGGGGGGGGGGGGCUUAACACAUGCAAGUCGAACGAUGAUCCCCAGCUUGCUGGGGGGAUUAGUGGCGAACGGGUGAGUAACACGUGAGUAACCUGCCCUUAACUCUGGGAUAAGCCUGGGAAACUGGGUCUAAUACCGGAUAUGACUCCUCAUCGCAUGGUGGGGGGUGGAAAGCUAUUGUGGUUUUGGAUGGACUCGCGGCCUAUCAGCUUGUUGGUGAGGUAAUGGCUCACCAAGGCGACGACGGGUAGCCGGCCUGAGAGGGUGACCGGCCACACUGGGACUGAGACACGGCCCAGACUCCUACGGGAGGCAGCAGUGGGGAAUAUUGCACAAUGGGCGCAAGCCUGAUGCAGCGACGCCGCGUGAGGGAUGACGGCCUUCGGGUUGUAAACCUCUUUCAGUAGGGAAGAAGCGGAAAGUGACGGUACUGCAGAAAGAAGCGCCGGCUAACUACGUGCCAGCAGCCGCGGUAAUACGUAGGGCGCAAGCGUUAUCCGGGAAUUAUUGGGCGUAAAGAGCUCGUAGGCGGUUUGUCGCGUCUGCCGUGAAAGUCCGGGGCUCAACUCCGGAUCUGCGGUGGGUACGGGCAGACUAGAGUGAUGUAGGGGAGACUGGAAUUCCUGGUGUAGCGGUGAAAUGCGCAGAUAUCAGGAGGAACACCGAUGGCGAAGGCAGGUCUCUGGGCAUUAACUGACGCUGAGGAGCGAAAGCAUGGGGAGCGAACAGGAUUAGAUACCCUGGUAGUCCAUGCCGUAAACGUUGGGCACUAGGUGUGGGGGACAUUCCACGUUUUCCGCGCCGUAGCUAACGCAUUAAGUGCCCCGCCUGGGGGAGUACGGCCGCAAGGCUAAAACUCAAAGGAAUUGACGGGGGCCCGCACAAGCGGCGGAGCAUGCGGAUUAAUUUCGAUGGCAACGCGAGAAACCUUACCAAGGCUUUGAACAUGGGCCGAAUCGCCGCAAAAAAUGUGGUUUCCCCUUUGGGGCCGGUUCACAGGUGGUGCAUGGUUGUCGUCAGCUCGUGUCGUGAGAUGUUGGGUUAAGUCCCGCAACGAGCGCAACCCUCGUUCCAUGUUGCCAGCGCGUGAUGGCGGGGACUCAUAGGAGACUGCCGGGGUCAACUCGGAGGAAGGUGGGGACGACGUCAAAUCAUCAUGCCCCUUAUGUCUUGGGCUUCACGCAUGCUACAAUGGCCGGUACAAAGGGUUGCGAUACUGUGAGGUGGAGCUAAUCCCAAAAAGCCGGUCUCAGUUCGGAUUGGGGUCUGCAACUCGACCCCAUGAAGUCGGAGUCGCUAGUAAUCGCAGAUCAGCACGCCGACCGA